AUGCUGGUGGAUGUGUGUAAGGUUGAGGAGGGUUGUGUGGAGUUACCCGUGAUGCUGGUGGAUGUGUGUAAGGUUGAGGAGGGUUGUGUGGAGGUGAGAGAUGUGGUGGUCGUGUUUGGAGGUGAGGUGAUGGAGUCUUUACUUGAACCUGGUUGAGUGUCUAGUUGAUAAAAGUUAACAGUUAAAACUGUCUGACCAGACUACAGACAUACUGCAAAGCUCAAUUAAUGUAGAAAUGACACAUUUCAAGAGGAAAAUUAUUACCGUUAUCUGUUGAUUGUGAGGUUUGUGUAGGAGUGUGUGAGGGUGAGGGGCCUGAUUCUAAAGGAAAUGCAAGUUCAUGAUAUUGAGCAUCACUUUAUGUAAUUCACAAAUUUAUUAAAUAUUGUUCUAGCAUUAGCUUUAGCCAUGGUGAAUUGCACAAUUACACAUUUGCACUAAAUUGAAGCUGCACAAUCUUUGACAUCAACAUUAACAUUUACGGGAGGUGUAACUUGAUAAACUGUGUGAUACAAGUGAAAAACUUUUCAUUUUUUAAUACACACACACACACACACACACACACACACACACACACACACACACACACACACACACACACACACACACACACACUACAUUUCUACAAACUUGCAAUGUAUUUUUAAACGAGACUGUAAAAGAUUUAGUUCAGGACAGAAUAAAUGAUUGUUGGAAGACUAUUAAAUACUCUCCUACAAGCUUCAUCACCUGACUGUGUGGUGGAAGUGUUUUGUGGUGCGUAUAAUAGUUACAAAAAAAGUAAUAAUAAUAAUAAUAAUAAUAAUAAAAGGUUAUAACAUUUUGAUGAUAGACUUAUUCUGACAAAUGGUGUAAUAAAAUAUCACCAGGAAUGUCUAUUUGUAUUUGUAUAAGUACAAAGGGUCCAGUUUGAUUUCAUUUUUGUGUCUUUAAAUGUAGAAAUUGAAGAAAAAAAAUUGUGCAAUUCACAAAUACACUAAAUAUUUCAACAUUUUAUGAGUAUUACC
RNAcentral lists this long non-coding RNA (1007 nucleotides) under Carassius auratus (goldfish). RNAcentral describes it as "lncRNA (ENSCARG00000023688.1)". Lineage: Eukaryota; Metazoa; Chordata; Actinopteri; Cypriniformes; Cyprinidae. The record is from RNAcentral.